Molecule: ribosomal RNA, 544 nt
Filed under: uncultured bacterium
Lineage: Bacteria
Description: bacterial SSU rRNA
Rfam family: Bacterial small subunit ribosomal RNA
Source: RNAcentral
GGAAUCUUGCGCAAUGGGCGAAAGCCUGACGCAGCAACGCCGCGUGCGGGAAGAAGGCUUUAGGGUUGUAAACCGCUUUCAGCAGGGAAGAAAAUGACGGUACCUGCAGAAGAAGGUGCGGCCAACUACGUGCCAGCAGCCGCGGUGACACGUAGGCACCAAGCGUUGUCCGGAUUUAUUGGGCGUAAAGAGCUCGUAGGCGGUUCAGUAAGUCGGGUGUGAAAACUCUGGGCUUAACCCAGAGCCGCCACCCGAUACUGCUGUGACUUGAGUCCGGUAGGGGAGCGGGGAAUUCCUGGUGUAGCGGUGAAAUGCGCAGAUAUCAGGAGGAACACCGGUGGCGAAGGCGCCGCUCUGGGCCGAGACUGACGCUGAGGAGCGAAAGCAUGGGUAGCAAACAGGAUUAGAUACCCUGGUAGUCCAUGCCGUAAACGUUGGGCACUAGGUGUGGGCAUCAACCAACGAUGUCCGCGCCGUCGCUAACGCAUUAAGUGCCCCGCCUGGGGAGUACGGCCGCAAGACUAAAACUCAAAUGAAUUGACGG